Long non-coding RNA from Clupea harengus (Atlantic herring), 1390 nucleotides. RefSeq lists it as uncharacterized. Lineage: Eukaryota; Metazoa; Chordata; Actinopteri; Clupeiformes; Clupeidae. The record is from RefSeq and is a predicted model, not a curated record. The transcript has 2 exons.
UCUUUUUUCCUCUUCUUUUUGUAGAAGAAGCUCUGGAUUGCACUGUGCUGUUUCAUACUCUUGUUAGUCAUAGCCAUCAUCAUUGCUACUUCUUUCUCCUCGUGAGAUUACAUUCCUCAAUUGCACUGUCCAUCCCUUGGAAUAAGAGGAGACCUUUUGUUAAUGAUAUCAAGGAGCCUUUUUACUAACAGUUUUUUCCAUUCAAACAGACUUAAAGACAGACUUCUCCCUUUAGUUUUGGAAUUUCAAAUUUGAGCAUCAUUUUUAACCUUGGAUAGUCCUGGACAUCCUUCCACCCAGCAACCAUGAAAAACGCUACCAUAUUAACUGAACCAGUUUAAGUUGUUGUCACAGCUUAAAGGUCACUCAAAAUCGUGGUAGCUGCACACUGAGCUGAAACCCAUGGACUUUCAUCUCUAUUGGAGAAAAUUCCCAAGAAGCUUGAUUUUGUGUACUCAGGAAAAUCCACAGAAAGGAAAAUUCUUAAAUGCAGUUGUUGUUUUACCACACUAAGUGCCCCAUGAAACACUGAGAAUAUUCAACUGACCAUUAUUUACCCCUGACAUUACAUUGACAUGAAAUGUUACCUCUGAGUCACUUGAUUGGACUCAGAAGGUGCUGCUUAGAAGAAAAGGAACUGCACAAAUCCAGCUGGGUCAUCCCUGUACAGAUGUAAAAGUGUUUCCCUGAGAUGCACCAGCUGGCUUUAGAUGACGGCCCUAAGAAGAACUCUGCCAGUGGGUGCCUCAGUGAUUCCCACUUUCUCUCCAGCUUUUGGCCUGUCUGUGGGCCUAAGUGUUUUUUUGCCUUAUAUGAGGCAAUGUAAUGUUAAAGCUUUCAGAACUUGAGUAUUAAGCCUUUCUGAACACAAAGGUGAGGAGAGGCUCAAGAAUGGUGCUUCCAUUUUGUUUUAUCUUAAUGCUCUGUCAGGACCGAUGUCGUGUUCACCUGUAUGCACUGUACGCCCUAGUGCCUCGACCCUACUGCCUUUCCUCCGGCUUUGUUCCUGUGUGCUGUUCACUUGUUUCCCAGUUGGAUAUUAUCCAGUUCUGAAUCAACCUUUAGCUGCUUUUUUCUUACUCUUAGCCAAGGUAAAGGAAUGGGAUAGGCAUGAGUUUGUCAUCACAGACACCUCUUUGUCCCCUAUGCUGUCUAGAAAAAAAGGCCUAAGAAUAAGGGACCAGAGGUUAAAGUGCAGUUGGUCAUCAGUGGGGAAGACUGAUCCUCAGGUGUUUAGACUUUGGAGAUAUGGGUAGGAUGUUGGGUCCAGAGAACACAUUCGAUUUCACUCAACUGUCAUGUUUUAUGCCAAACUUUCAGUCUUCAACUCAUUUACUAGUAAUGUAGAUUUGUUGGUUUUAUUGUGAAAUAAAGAUUUUAUUGUAUACAC